UACGGGGGGGGCAAGCGUUGUUCGGAAUUACUGGGCGUAAAGGGCUCGUAGGCGGCCAACUAAGUCGGAUGUGAAAUCCCCUGGCUCAACCUGGGAACUGCAUCCGAUACUGGAUGGCUUGAAUUCGGGAGAGGGAUGCAGAAUUCCAGGUGUAGCGGUGAAAUGCGUAGAUAUCUGGAGGAAUACCGGUGGCGAAGGCGGCAUCCUGGACCGACAUUGACGCUGAGGAGCGAAAGCUAGGGGAGCAAACGGG
This 253-nucleotide ribosomal RNA is filed under the name uncultured bacterium. RNAcentral's name for it is "partial 16S ribosomal RNA". It matches the Rfam family "Bacterial small subunit ribosomal RNA", at positions 524 to 776 of the family's 1533-position model. The record is from RNAcentral.